ACAUAUUUCUUCUGUUCACUGUCAAGAAACUGCCUCCCUUCCUGGUUCUUGAAGGCAUGGCUCCCCCAGGCAGAUAAAAGCUUAAUGGAGUUUUGCAACAUGAAAGUCACUUGGAGGGAAUAGCCUUGAACGGCCUGCGUCAAGGAGAAAGGCAAGUGGGACAUGGGGACGACGAAGGUGCCCUAAAUAAUUUCACGGCGCAGGCAGCGUUCGCUGCCACCAAGGCAGGGAGGAAGGACCAGGAAAGAGAGAUCGUGGUUUUCGUGGAAAAAUGGAGACUACCCUGAAGCAUUUGGGUAGAUGUCCUGAGAAGUGGGUGCAACCAGAAGAUGGGACACUGGGGCUCCGUGCCAGGAGGGGCUGAGCUGGGUCCGGGUCCACUGCUGGGCAGGCCUGGGCCACAGAUGGGGGCAGCUGCCAUGCUGACCACUUCACUGCAGGCCCUGCCAAGCCCUGUUCUGGAGGGGCCUCACUCCACCCCAGCUCUACUGUCCUGGAAAGGAGGCCCCCCGAGGUCGCUGGCCAAACGGCAGGGUGGAUUUUCCAUGUGGGGAGCCAAACCAAAGCUCUGGGCUCCAUUUUCUUGCAAAAGUAAAACAGAAAAUCUGGAACCCAUCAGCUGUCAGUGGGGAUGGAGGGGGCAAGGGCCCCUCGGCUGAGGAGACCAAGAUGGACAAAGUAGCCAAGAGCCUCAAGGGACGUCCCUCGGCUUCUACAAGAACACACACUGAGUUGGCCUCACUCCAGCAUGACUCACUUGGGCUCGUCUUCAUGAGGCAAUUGAGAACAAGAGGCCCAGAGAGGGGAGGUGCCCCGGGCCAGCGCGCUCGUGCUGGAGUCAAAGCGGCUGUCUGCUUGCCAGCCUUCUAGUCCGGGGCCACCUCAGCAAACCCUUCAAAAGAAACAAGGCCGUACUCCGUGUGAACUGGGAGGAAACCGAAGGCAGCUUUGAUAUGUCGACUUGGGAACAAGCUCGCCACAGCGGAUCACGGCCAUCGCUUCUGCCUGAGCAAAGGACUUGAAACAAUGCUUUCUGGGCACGCCUCCUAAUGUGCUGGGUGUUUAUGAUUUUUUUAAGGACCUCAUCAAAGACAAUGCCAUAAUGAUGUUUCUAACUUAACAGCCGUGCUUUAGAAGGGGUGGAUUAUUCACAUCAGAGAUGAAGCAGGGGCUCUGAAAACGGGGUCAGCUGAAGCAGUCCCUUUCCUUGGGACUAUUUUUAUCUUCUUUCAGUCUUUCAUCUGGGGAGACGCGCUGUUCGGAAAGUGUGGGGAGCCCAUUGCAAGGAGCCCAAGUUGGCAGAAUGUCAAGGCUGAAGCACUAGGGCACCUCGGGGCUUCUUCCUAGAGUGCGAAACCGAGGAAGCUCGAGGAAGUGUGGACAGCGGGGCAGUGGCAGUGUAAUGAGGACGGUCGAGGGGUUCUGGGGAACUCCCCGGUUUUUAGUCUUGGAGGUCUCCCGGAGGCCUGGUCCCCAUCGUGAGCCUGGAGUACAUGGAAGCCAUCUUGGUCUUUCCUUUGUUAGCAUCGGCUCUUCCCGGCAUUCCAUGUAUCUGGAAUGAUGUGUGGAACCCCUGGGAAAGGAUAUGUGGGUUCCGUGUGGGGUGCCUGGAGCAGCCUGCCCUGAGGGAGAAGGGGCUUUGGUCAUUGCAAAGCUUCUCAGGGUCAAGUGGGAACCAGCAGUGUCCCAAACUCUGCAGGCCAUCCCAGUCCAAUGCUGUCAAACUCCUUCAUGCCUGUUUGCUUUAAAAAGCACCCUAGACCCGUGCUGUCCAGUCACAGCAGCCGUGAGCCCCAUGGGACUAUCGAGCACUUGAAAUGUGGUCGCUCCAAACUGAGAUGUGCUGCGAGUGGAACAGUGCACUGGGUUUCAAAGAAGGACGCAAAAUCUCUCGUUAAUAAUUUUUUUAUAUUGAUCACAUGUUGAGAUGAUAA
Molecule: long non-coding RNA, 1934 nt
Organism: Hipposideros armiger (great roundleaf bat)
Lineage: Eukaryota; Metazoa; Chordata; Mammalia; Chiroptera; Hipposideridae
Exons: 3
Source: RefSeq, a predicted model, not a curated record